GUGCCUUUAGCUCAGCCGGAUAGAGCAACUGCCUUCUAAGCAGUAGGUCGGGGGUUCGAAUCCCUCAAGGCACGCCA
RNAcentral lists this transfer RNA (77 nucleotides) under Oscillospiraceae bacterium. Its description in RNAcentral is "tRNA-Arg". It matches the Rfam family "tRNA". From Rfam's summary of the family: Transfer RNA (tRNA) molecules are approximately 80 nucleotides in length. The record is from RNAcentral. Lineage: Bacteria; Bacillati; Bacillota; Clostridia; Eubacteriales; Oscillospiraceae.